This 1007-nucleotide long non-coding RNA is filed under the name Numida meleagris (helmeted guineafowl). Its description in RNAcentral is "lncRNA (ENSNMEG00000020298.1)". Lineage: Eukaryota; Metazoa; Chordata; Aves; Galliformes; Numididae. The record is from RNAcentral.
UCUGUAGCAACACAAAGUGAGGCAGCGCUUAACACUCUUACCUUGUCCAAGUUCAACACAGUGCUCUGUUAGUGUUUCAAAAUAUGAUUGAUGGUGUGGGUAUAUGGCUGGGACAGGUCAAACUGCCUUUCUGGUGAUGGGAUGGAGCAGAUUGUGUGGACUUGGAACCAUCUCUGGCAUUGCCUAUCUCACUGCAAGAGUAUGCAAAAGCUUCAAGGUGUACAAUUUGCCCAAGAAAAGGGCUAAAUACUCAUUGGCUGGUGUGUAUCCACCAUGUCUGGUAGCUAAACCAGCUUGUAAUGGGAUGUGGAUGCCUUAUAGCACAGCCACAGGUCAUGUGACAGCACCUACCCAGGUGGGAGAAGAUAGAAGGUGCCAAGAGGUGGUGGGUUCUGCAGCUGGUGUGCAGGGCCAAGAGGAGCAACGGAGAUCUGAGCCUGUAGAUGUGAUAGAUCCCAAAGGAGCCGUGCGAAGGAGCCCGUGCUGCUGGAGGACUGCACCUUGCCAAAUCGUCUUGGCAGCCGCAUCCAUGCAGCCCAUCCAAGAGGGGGCAUUUUAUGGAAUGAAAUAUCUAACAGGAGUAUUGAAUCGAUCAUUGCUGAUGGUCUGGCAAAUCUGGCCUGCUGGUGAGUGGAAGAAGCCUGUCCCAGCCAGGUGUCUGAACUCUGUUGUUCUGUAUUUGGUGGCGUCCAAGUCUAAUUUAAAAAACAACAACAACAAAAAAAAACACUGUUUCUGGAAUCAUUUUAAUCCUUAUGAAGGUUUGAGGAAACUUGUUGCUAUGUGAAACAAAAUGAGUCCCUCGUUGUUAAAAUGAUUGCCCCCAAGGAAUCCUCUUAGGGAAUCUGGGCAUGUCGAGGGGCAAGAAGAGCUAUUUGCGGGCUGGCUGUUGUUGGCACACAUCUUUGCAGGCAUUGACACAGGAGAACAAAGGGGAACUGCUGUGCUUUGUUUGUGCUUUCCUAUAUAUCCAGAUUUCUCAUUUUGGUUUUCUGAAUGAUUCAAUA